AUGGUGCCGGAGCAUGGUGAUGAUGGUGAUGGAUCGGCGACGGUGCGGGACUGUGGUGAUGAUGGUGGUGGAUCGAUGAUGGAGACGGAGCUUGGUGAUGGUGGUGGUGGCUCGGUGAGUGGGCCGGAGCAUGGUGAUGAUGGUGGUGGCCCGACGAGUGGGCCGGAGCAUGGUGAUGUUGGUGGUGUCCCGCGUGGGCGGGAGCAGGCGCCGGCGCUGGCCCGUGAUGGCGAUGAUGGCUUGGCGCCGGGGCAAGAUGGCCAUGAUGGUGAGUGGGGCUUGGUGCUUGAGCCGGCGCGUGCUGGUGCUCCUUGUGCGCCAAGGAGAGCGCGGCCAGCGUGGCCAGCACCAGAGCCAUCACCACAGCGGUUGGCGACAGAGAAGUCGCCAUGGCGAUAA
This 399-nucleotide ribosomal RNA is filed under the name Triticum aestivum (bread wheat). RNAcentral's name for it is "partial small subunit ribosomal RNA". The record is from RNAcentral. Lineage: Eukaryota; Viridiplantae; Streptophyta; Magnoliopsida; Poales; Poaceae.